UUUGAAGCAACAGGCGACAUGCCCCUAAAAUUUACCCUCACGUCUGUUUCUUUUCCCUCUUUCAUAUGUGGGAGAAAGAUCGAAACGGAUCCCUCAACUAUGAGUCUCCCUCAAUCUUUCUUCUCUAUUUCAAUUACUUUAGAACCAACAACCUCAACUAUUUUCUUCUUCGUGUUUCUUCGGUUCUUCUUGUGCUUCGAUUUAAGCCCAAAAUGGCUUGGUGCUUGGAGAAACUCGACGCCGCCGUAUUUGAAGUUGCCCAGUUGGGCUACUGUUUUUGUAGCGGAACAAAGACAAAAAUAGGUGGAAGAUGAGAUUCUCGAAGUGGGUUUUUGCUGGGCUGGUUUGUACUGCUUUGGUUUUGGAUUUUGGAUCUGAGGAGGAAUUGAGAGGAUUUCAUUGAUUACUUGUUUAAGCUUUUGCUGAUUGGAGACUCCGGGGUUGGGAAGUCGUGUCUUCUUCUGAGGUUUGCUGGAAAGAAAGGAAUUUGGCUCAAAUUGUCGGUAAAGAGAGCUGAGCUUGUUACAGUUGCUAUUAAGGAAGGAUUCCAGUACCACCAUGCAGAACGAGGAUAUGCGAUGUUGACAUACUGGAUCCCAGAAGGACCUUGCAUGCUUCUGGCUAAUGCUUCACAUCCCAUAACACCCUUAUAAAAAUCUUAUGUAGAUUGGUGCAUGUCUCAUAUUAUAUAUUGAUUGCGUUAAAUUUACUAGGCUGCAUGACACAACUAGUAGACACAUGAGAUAUUCGUAAAAUCUAUCAAUGUCGAAACGCAUUAA
Argentina anserina (silverweed cinquefoil) is the source of this 779-nucleotide long non-coding RNA. RefSeq lists it as uncharacterized. The transcript has 4 exons. Lineage: Eukaryota; Viridiplantae; Streptophyta; Magnoliopsida; Rosales; Rosaceae. The record is from RefSeq and is a predicted model, not a curated record.